AUACGGAGGGUGCAAGCGUUGUCCGGAUUUAUUGGGUUUAAAGGGUGCGUAGGUGGCGUGUUAAGUCAGUGGUGAAAGCCUGCAGCUCAACUGUAGAGGUGCCAUUGAUACUGACAUGCUUGAGUAUGGACGAGGUAGGCGGAAUUUGUGGUGUAGCGGUGAAAUGCAUAGAUACCACAAAGAACACCGAUAGCGAAGGCAGCUUACUGGACCAUAACUGACACUGAGGCACGAAAGUGUGGGUAGCGAACAGGAUUAGAUACCCUAGUAGUCC
Molecule: ribosomal RNA, 274 nt
Filed under: uncultured bacterium
Lineage: Bacteria
Description: partial 16S ribosomal RNA
Rfam family: Bacterial small subunit ribosomal RNA
Source: RNAcentral